This 234-nucleotide unclassified non-coding RNA is filed under the name uncultured fungus. RNAcentral's name for it is "sequence contains ITS1". The record is from RNAcentral. Lineage: Eukaryota; Fungi.
GUAUUGUAUUGCGUUAAACGCGACAAACAUUCCAUGAGACUUUAUAACUGUGUGUGUGUGUAAAGAAGUAGAACCACAGUGGGAAGACGGGGUCCCCCACACCACAGAACUACCAAGGGUGCACAGGUGUGAAUGGGUGUGUAAACAGAGUGUGCACAUGCCCCCAUUUGAGGACCAGCAACAACUCGUGUCGACAGUUCAGUAAUGAUCCUUCCGCAGGUUCACCUACGGAAA